CCACCUCGCUUGUAUAUUUUUUGAGCUGUGAUAGUGUCCGGCUACGCCUCAACUUACCGAGGCCUGUGAAAAACCCCGUCUUUUUGUGGCGGGGUUUUGCUUUUUU
Molecule: small RNA, 106 nt
Filed under: Pseudomonas corrugata
Lineage: Bacteria; Pseudomonadati; Pseudomonadota; Gammaproteobacteria; Pseudomonadales; Pseudomonadaceae
Description: Pseudomonas rnk leader
Rfam family: Pseudomonas rnk leader
Source: RNAcentral